Molecule: ribosomal RNA, 465 nt
Filed under: uncultured bacterium
Lineage: Bacteria
Description: partial 16S ribosomal RNA
Rfam family: Bacterial small subunit ribosomal RNA
Source: RNAcentral
GACGGACGCUGGCGGCGUGCUUAACACAUGCAAGUCGAACGGAAAGGCCCCAGCUUUCUGGGGUGCUCGAGUGGCGAACGGGUGAGUAACACGUGGGUGAUCUGCCCUGCACUCUGGGAUAAGCCUGGGAAACUGGGUCUAAUACCGGAUAGGACCGUGCUUUGGUGUGUGCGGUGGAAAGUUUUUCGGUGCAGGAUGAGCCCGCGGCCUAUCAGCUUGUUGGUGGGGUAAUGGCCUACCAAGGCGGCGACGGGUAGCCGGCCUGAGAGGGUGGACGGCCACAUUGGGACUGAGAUACGGCCCAGACUCCUACGGGAGGCAGCAGUGGGGAAUAUUGCACAAUGGGCGCAAGCCUGAUGCAGCGACGCCGCGUGGGGGAUGACGGCCUUCGGGUUGUAAACCGCUUUCGGCAGGGACGAAGCUUUUGUGACGGUACCUGCAUAAGAAGCACCGGCUAACUACGUG